This 433-nucleotide ribosomal RNA is filed under the name uncultured bacterium. Its description in RNAcentral is "bacterial SSU rRNA". It matches the Rfam family "Bacterial small subunit ribosomal RNA", at positions 29 to 507 of the family's 1533-position model. The record is from RNAcentral.
AACGAACGCUGGCGGCNUGCCUAACACAUGCAAGUCGAACGAGAUCUUCGGAUCUAGUGGCGCACGGGUGCGUAACGCGUGGGAAUCUGCCCUUGGGUACGGAAUAACUCAGAGAAAUUUGUGCUAAUACCGUAUAAUGUCUUCGGACCAAAGAUUUAUCGCCCAAGGAUGAGCCCGCGUAGGAUUAGCUAGUUGGUGAGGUAAAAGCUCACCAAGGCGACGAUCCUUAGCUGGUCUGAGAGGAUGAUCAGCCACACUGGGACUGAGACACGGCCCAGACUCCUACGGGAGGCAGCAGUGGGGAAUAUUGGACAAUGGGCGAAAGCCUGAUCCAGCAAUGCCGCGUGAGUGAUGAAGGCCCUAGGGUUGUAAAGCUCUUUUACCCGGGAUGAUAAUGACAGUACCGGGAGAAUAAGCUCCGGCUAACUUCGUG